This 505-nucleotide ribosomal RNA is filed under the name uncultured bacterium. RNAcentral's name for it is "bacterial SSU rRNA". It matches the Rfam family "Bacterial small subunit ribosomal RNA", at positions 501 to 1008 of the family's 1533-position model. The record is from RNAcentral.
CUACGUGCCAGCAGCCGCGGUAAUACGGAAGGUCCGGGCGUUAUCCGGAUUUAUUGGGUUUAAAGGGAGCGUAGGCUGGAGAUUAAGUGUGUUGUGAAAUGUAGACGCUCAACGUCUGACUUGCAGCGCAUACUGGUUUCCUUGAGUACGCACAACGUUGGCGGAAUUCGUCGUGUAGCGGUGAAAUGCUUAGAUAUGACGAAGAACUCCGAUUGCGAAGGCAGCUGACGGGAGCGCAACUGACGCUGAAGCUCGAAGGUGCGGGUAUCAAACAGGAUUAGAUACCCUGGUAGUCCGCACAGUAAACGAUGGAUGCCCGCUGUUGGUACCUGGUAUCAGCGGCUAAGCGAAAGCAUUAAGCAUCCCACCUGGGGAGUACGCCGGCAACGGUGAAACUCAAAGGAAUUGACGGGGGCCCGCACAAGCGGAGGAACAUGUGGUUUAAUUCGAUGAUACGCGAGGAACCUUACCCGGGCUUGAAUUGCAGAGGAAGGAUUUAGAGAUA